AGCAGCCGCGGUAAUUCCAGCUCCAAUAGCGUAUAUUAAAGUUGUUGCAGUUAAAAAGCUCGUAGUUGAAUUUCGGGGUUCUACCGUUGGUCGGGCUUUGUCUGUACUGGCGUGUAGAAUUUCUACCUUCUGGGGAACCAUUAUGUUAUUAAUUUAGCGUAGUGGGAAACCAGGACCUUUACCUUGAAAAAAUUAGAGUGUUCAAAGCAGGCUUAUGUCUGAAUACAUUAGCAUGGAAUAAUAGAAUAGGACGGUGGUCCUGUUUUGUUGGUUUCUGAAUCACCGUAAUGAUUAAUAGGGAUAGUUGGG
Molecule: ribosomal RNA, 309 nt
Filed under: uncultured Glomeromycotina
Lineage: Eukaryota; Fungi; Glomeromycota
Description: SSU rRNA
Rfam family: Eukaryotic small subunit ribosomal RNA
Source: RNAcentral